This 463-nucleotide ribosomal RNA is filed under the name uncultured bacterium. RNAcentral's name for it is "bacterial SSU rRNA". It matches the Rfam family "Bacterial small subunit ribosomal RNA", at positions 340 to 793 of the family's 1533-position model. The record is from RNAcentral.
UACGGGAGGCAGCAGUGGGGAAUAUUGCACAAUGGGCGCAAGCCUGAUGCAGCCAUGCCGCGUGUAUGAAGAAAGGCCUUCGGGUUUGUAAAGUACUUUCAGCAGUGAGGAAGGUGGGUAUGUUAAUAGCAUACUCAUUUGACGUUAGCUGCAGAAGAAGCACCGGCUAACUCCGUGCCAGCAGCCGCGGUAAUACGGAGGGUGCGAGCGUUAAUCGGAAUUACUGGGCGUAAAGCGCAUGCAGGUGGUUUGUUAAGUCAGAUGUGAAAGCCCGGGGCUCAACCUCGGAAUUGCAUUUGAAACUGGCAAACUAGAGUACUGUAGAGGGGGUAGAAUUUCAGGUGUAGCGGUGAAAUGCGUAGAGAUCUGAAGGAAUACCGGUGGCGAAGGCGGCCCCCUGGACAGAUACUGACACUCAGAUGCGAAAGCGUGGGGAGCAAAACAGGAUUAGAUACCCUGGUAG